This 28-nucleotide small RNA is filed under the name Bombyx mori (domestic silkworm). RNAcentral's name for it is "ovarian small RNA-37919". Lineage: Eukaryota; Metazoa; Arthropoda; Insecta; Lepidoptera; Bombycidae. The record is from RNAcentral.
UUGCUCUGGACUCGAAGAGAAGGUCGCC